RNAcentral lists this ribosomal RNA (520 nucleotides) under uncultured bacterium. RNAcentral describes it as "partial 16S ribosomal RNA". It matches the Rfam family "Bacterial small subunit ribosomal RNA", at positions 28 to 507 of the family's 1533-position model. The record is from RNAcentral.
GACGAACGCUGGCGGCGUGCCUAAUACAUGCAAGUCGAACGCACUCUCGUUUAGAUUGACGGAGUUUGCUCCUGAUUGAUAAACAUUUGAGUGAGUGGCUGACGGGUGAGUAACACGUGGGUAACCUGCCCUAAAGUGGGGGAUAACAUUUGGAAACAGAUGCUAAUACCGCAUAAAACCUAACACCGCAUGGUGUAGGGUUGAAAGAUGGUUUCGGCUAUCACUUUAGGAUGGACCCGCGGUGCAUUAGUUAGUUGGUGAGGUAAAGGCUCACCAAGACCGUGAUGCAUAGCCGACCUGAGAGGGUAAUCGGCCACACUGGGACUGAGACACGGCCCAGACUCCUACGGGAGGCAGCAGUAGGGAAUCUUCCACAAUGGACGAAAGUCUGAUGGAGCAACGCCGCGUGAGUGAAGAAGGUUUUCGGAUCGUAAAACUCUGUUGUUGGAGAAGAAUGUAUCUGAUAGUAACUGAUCAGGUAGUGACGGUAUCCAACCAGAAAGCCACGGCUAACUACGUG